GAUGAACGCUGGCGGCGUGCUUAACACAUGCAAGUCGAACGAUGAAGCCCAGCUUGCUGGGUGGAUUAGUGGCGAACGGGUGAGUAACACGUGAGUAACCUGCCCUUAACUCUGGGAUAAGCCUGGGAAACUGGGUCUAAUACCGGAUAGGAGCGUCCACCGCAUGGUGGGUGUUGGAAAGAUUUAUCGGUUUUGGAUGGACUCGCGGCCUAUCAGCUUGUUGGUGAGGUAAUGGCUCACCAAGGCGACGACGGGUAGCCGGCCUGAGAGGGUGACUGGCCACACUGGGACUGAGACACGGCCCAGACUCCUACGGGAGGCAGCAGUGGGGAAUAUUGCACAAUGGGCGCAAGCCUGAUGCAGCGACGCCGCGUGAGGGAUGACGGCCUUCGGGUUGUAAACCUCUUUCAGUAGGGAAGAAGCGAAAGUGACGGUACCUGCAGAAGAAGCACCGGCUAACUACGUG
This 466-nucleotide ribosomal RNA is filed under the name uncultured bacterium. RNAcentral describes it as "partial 16S ribosomal RNA". It matches the Rfam family "Bacterial small subunit ribosomal RNA", at positions 28 to 507 of the family's 1533-position model. The record is from RNAcentral.